Molecule: ribosomal RNA, 1343 nt
Filed under: uncultured bacterium
Lineage: Bacteria
Description: 16S ribosomal RNA
Rfam family: Bacterial small subunit ribosomal RNA
Source: RNAcentral
GACGAACGCUGGCGGCGUGCUUAACACAUGCAAGUCGAACGGAAAGGCCCUGCUUUUGUGGGGUGCUCGAGUGGCGAACGGGUGAGUAACACGUGAGUAACCUGCCCUUGACUUUGGGAUAACUUCAGGAAACUGGGGCUAAUACCGGAUAGGAGCUCCUGCUGCAUGGUGGGGGUUGGAAAGUUUCGGCGGUUGGGGAUGGACUCGCGGCUUAUCAGCUUGUUGGUGGGGUAGUGGCUUACCAAGGCUUUGACGGGUAGCCGGCCUGAGAGGGUGACCGGCCACAUUGGGACUGAGAUACGGCCCAGACUCCUACGGGAGGCAGCAGUGGGGAAUAUUGCACAAUGGGCGGAAGCCUGAUGCAGCAACGCCGCGUGCGGGAUGACGGCCUUCGGGUUGUAAACCGCUUUCGCCUGUGACGAAGCGUGAGUGACGGUAAUGGGUAAAGAAGCACCGGCUAACUACGUGCCAGCAGCCGCGGUGAUACGUAGGGUGCGAGCGUUGUCCGGAUUUAUUGGGCGUAAAGGGCUCGUAGGUGGUUGAUCGCGUCGGAAGUGUAAUCUUGGGGCUUAACCCUGAGCGUGCUUUCGAUACGGGUUGACUUGAGGAAGGUAGGGGAGAAUGGAAUUCCUGGUGGAGCGGUGGAAUGCGCAGAUAUCAGGAGGAACACCAGUGGCGAAGGCGGUUCUCUGGGCCUUUCCUGACGCUGAGGAGCGAAAGCGUGGGGAGCGAACAGGCUUAGAUACCCUGGUAGUCCACGCUGUAAACGGUGGGUACUAGGUGUGGGGUCCAUUCCACGGGUUCCGUGCCGUAGCUAACGCUUUAAGUACCCCGCCUGGGGAGUACGGCCGCAAGGCUAAAACUCAAAGGAAUUGACGGGGCCCCGCACAAGCGGCGGAGCAUGCGGAUUAAUUCGAUGCAACGCGUAGAACCUUACCUGGGUUUGACAUGGAUCGGGAGUGCUCAGAGAUGGGUGUGCCUCUUUUGGGGUCGGUUCACAGGUGGUGCAUGGCUGUCGUCAGCUCGUGUCGUGAGAUGUUGGGUUAAGUCCCGCAACGAGCGCAACCCUUGUUCACUGUUGCCAGCACGUUAUGGUGGGGACUCAGUGGAGACCGCCGGGGUCAACUCGGAGGAAGGUGGGGAUGACGUCAAGUCAUCAUGCCCCUUAUGUCCAGGGCUUCACGCAUGCUACAAUGGCUGGUACAGAGAGUGGCGAGCCUGUGAGGGUGAGCGAAUCUCGGAAAGCCGGUCUCAGUUCGGAUUGGGGUCUGCAACUCGACCUCAUGAAGUCGGAGUCGCUAGUAAUCGCAGAUCAGCAACGCUGCGGUGAAUAAGGUCCCGGG